GCAGUCGUGGCCGAGUGGUUAAGGUGAUGGGCUAGAAAUCCUUUGGGGUUCUCCCCGCACAGGUUCGAAUCCUGUCGACUGCG
Ixodes scapularis (black-legged tick) is the source of this 83-nucleotide non-coding RNA. Lineage: Eukaryota; Metazoa; Arthropoda; Arachnida; Ixodida; Ixodidae. The record is from Rfam.